RNAcentral lists this non-coding RNA (1094 nucleotides) under Trichomonas vaginalis G3. RNAcentral describes it as "Eukaryotic large subunit ribosomal RNA". It matches the Rfam family "Eukaryotic large subunit ribosomal RNA", at positions 892 to 2189 of the family's 3401-position model. The record is from Rfam by way of RNAcentral. Lineage: Eukaryota; Parabasalia; Trichomonadida; Trichomonadidae.
UGCAAAUCAUUUUUCUGAUGUAGGUAAAGGUGCGAAAGACUCAUCGAACCACUAAUAGCUGGUUUCCUCCGAAGUUUCCCUCAGGAUAGCUGUAAUGCAUUUAGUUAAGGGGAGUAGAGAUAUGGGUAGAGGUGCAGGGAGCCUUCGGGUUCUCAACUUAUUUCCAAACUUCGAACCUCCUUGUUAGGCAUUUACCUAACUGGAAAUGCUUAAAUGAAUUAGCGUUACAAGUGGGCUCUGACCGGUAAGCGGUCAUGGCGAAAUGGGAUGAACCAUACGUCUGAAUAAGGUGCCGAAAUGUACUAUCACUGAUACCAUAAAGGGAGUCCAUGUAUUUAGACAGCAGGUCGGUGCCCCUAAAAGCAGGUAUCCGCUAAAGAGUGUGUUAAAACUCACCUGCCGAAUACUAGGGCCCCGAAAAUGAAUGGCGCAUAUAGUACUACCGAUCUCAGACAUCAGUUCUAUUGAACUGAGAGUAGGGGGAUGUGGACAUUUUUGUGAAGGUGCAAUGUGAGUUGGACUGGAAGAAUGUCUAUUACAGAUCCUAAUUGAAGUAGCGAUUAUCCAGGCUUGUAUCCUGGGGGCUGAUGAGGAGUAGGGUUUCUGGACAACUUAAACAGAUCCAGAGUUAGUCGAUCCUAAUCUCAAUAAUGGGAGAAAGGGAGUACAGUUGAUAUUCUGUAACUGACAACAGUUCGCGGCAACGCAUACUAUUUUUCUCCGCCAAUCUUAUACCGUUGGUAGGGAUCUCUUUCCUACAUGACAGUACUAAUACCCAGGGAAACUGGUCAUCAGGCGAACUGCGGCGUUCUGCUGGCAAAACAUAGCUUCGGUUAUGUCAAUGGCUAUUGGAUUGGUCCAUGAAGCGAAAAAUAGUUUACUGUGUCACUCGUACCGAUAACCGCAUCAGGUCUUCUAGGUAAGUAGCCUAUGGCCAUUGAGGCAUGAUAGUUCAGGGAAUUCGGCCAAUUAGAGCUGUAACUUCGGGAUAAAGCUUGGCUCUGAUGAAAAUCAGAACCGAUUGUUACGCGGAGAGCCCAACUGUUUAAUAAAAACGUAGUGUCGCGCUGUGGUAGUAUAGCCAGUGAACGCGA